UGCGGCAGUAGCGCUCCUCAGGCUCAUAACCUGAAGGUCGUCAGUUCAAAUCUGGCUCCCGCAACCA
RNAcentral lists this transfer RNA (67 nucleotides) under Alphaproteobacteria bacterium. RNAcentral's name for it is "tRNA-Met". It matches the Rfam family "tRNA". From Rfam's summary of the family: Transfer RNA (tRNA) molecules are approximately 80 nucleotides in length. Their secondary structure includes four short double-helical elements and three loops (D, anti-codon, and T loops). Lineage: Bacteria; Pseudomonadati; Pseudomonadota; Alphaproteobacteria. The record is from RNAcentral.